Pan troglodytes (chimpanzee) is the source of this 16855-nucleotide long non-coding RNA. RefSeq lists it as uncharacterized. The transcript has 2 exons. Lineage: Eukaryota; Metazoa; Chordata; Mammalia; Primates; Hominidae. The record is from RefSeq and is a predicted model, not a curated record.
ACAAUAAAAGAUCCAUUUGUAUAUCUUCUUUGGACAAUAGUGCUGCUGUGAACAUGCAUGCACAAGUGUUUGUCUGAAUUCUUGUUUUCAAUUUUUGGAGGUUAUACCUAGGAGUAGAGUUGCUGGGUCACAUGGUAAUCCUAUGUUUCAUAUUUUGAGGAACUGCCAAACCGUUUUCCACAGUGGCUACACCAUUUCUAUGUCUCCACCAGCAAUGAAUGAGGGUUCUAAUUUCUGUACAUCCUCUCCAACAUGUGUUGUUUUCCAUUUUUGUAUUAUAGCCAACCCAGUGGGUGUGAAGUGGUAUCUCACUGUGGUUUUCACUUGUAUUUCCUUAAUGCCUAAUGACUUUGGGCAUCUUUUUGUGUGCUUGUCGCCAUUUGUGUAUGUUGUGUGGAGAAAUGUCUGUUCAAAUCCAUUGCCUGUUUUUAAAUUGGGUUGUUUUUUGUUGUUGAGCUAUAAGUAUUUUUUUUUAAUACUUUAAGUUCUAGGGUACAUGUGCACAACGUGCAGGUUUUUUACAUAUGUAUACAUGUGCCAUGUUGGUGUGCUGCACCCAUUAACUCGUCAUUUACAUUAGGUAUACCUCCUAAUGCUAUGCCUCCUCUCUCCCCCCACCCCACGACAGGCCCCAGUGUGUGAAGUUUCCCACCCUGUGUACAGGUGUUCUCAUUGUUCAAUUCCCACCUAUGAGUGAGAACAUGCAGUGUUUGGUUUUCUGUCCUUGCGAUAGUUUGCUCAGAUGAUGGUUUCUAGCUUCAUCGACGUCCCUACAAAGGACAUGAACUCAUCCUUUUUUAUGGCUGCAUAGUAUUCCAUGGUGUAUAUGUGCCACAUUUUCUUAAUCCAGUCUUCCAUUGAUAGACAGUUGGGUUGGUUCCAAGUCUUUGCUAUUGUGAAUAGUGCUGCAAUAAACAUAUGUGUGUGUGCAUGUGUCUUUAUAGCAGCAUGAUUUAUAAUCCUUUGAGUAUAUGCCCAGUAACGGGAUGGCUGGAUCAAAUGGUAUUUCUAGUUCUAGAUCCUUAAGGAAUCACCACACUGUCUUCCACAAUGGUUGAACUAGUUUACAAUCCCACCAACAGUAUAAAAGCUUUCCUAUUUCUCAACAUCCUCUCCAGUACCUGUUGUUUCCUGACUUUUUAAAGAUUGCCAUUCUAACUGGUGUGAGAUGGUAUCUCAUUGUGGUUUUGAUUUGCAUUUCUCUUGAUGGUCAGUGAUGAUGAGCACUUUUUCAUGUGUCUGUUGGCUGCAUAAAUGUCUUCUUUUGAGAAGUGUCUGUUCAUAUCUUUUGCCCACUUUUUGAUGGGGUUGUUUGAUUUUUUCUUGUAAAUUUGUUUAAGUUCUUUGUAGAUUCUGGAUGUUAGCCCUUUGUCAGAUGGGUAGAUUGUAAAAAUUUCCUCCCAUUCUGUAGGUUGUCUGUUCACUCUGAUGGUAGUUUCUUUUGAUGUGCAGAAGCUCUUUAGUUUAAUUAGAUCCCAUUUGUCAAUUUUGCCUUUUGUUGCCAUUGCUUUUGGUGUUUUAGACAUGAAGUCCUUGCCCAUGCCUAUGUCCUGAAUGGUAUUGCCUAGGUUUUCUUCUAGGGUUUUUAUGGUUUUAGGUCUAACAUUUAAGUCUUUAAUCCAUCUUGAAUUAAUUUUUGUAUAAGGUGUAAGGAAGGGAUCCAUUUUCAGCUUUCUACAUAUGGCUAGCCAGUUUUCCUAGCACCAUUUAUUAAGUAGGGAAUCCUUUCCCCAUUUCUUGUUUUUGUCAGGUUUGUCAAAGAUCAGAUGGUAGUAGAUGUGUGAUAUUAUUUCUGAGGGCUCUAUUCUGUUCCACUGGUCUAUAUCUCUGUUUUGGUACCAGUACCAUGCUGUUUUGUUUACUGUAGCCUUGUAGUAUAGUUUGAAGUCAGGUAGUGUGAUGCCUCCAGCCUUGUUCUUUUGGCUUAGGAUUGUCUUGGCAAUGCAGGCUCUUUUUUGGUUCCAUAUGAAUUUUAAAGUAGUUUUUUCAAGUUCUGUGAAGAAAGUCAUUGUUAGUUUGAUGGGGAUGGCAUUGAAUCUAUAAAUUACCUUGGGCAGUAUGGCCUAUGGCCAUUUUCACAAUAUUGAUUCUUCCUAUCCAAGAGCAUGGAAUAUUCUUCCAUUUGUUUGUGUCCUCUUUUAUUUCGUUGAGCAGUGGUUUGUAGUUCUCCUUGAAGAGGUCCUUCACAUCCCUUGUAAGUUGGAUUCCUAGGUAUUUUAUUCUCUUUGAAGCAAUUGUGAAUGGGAGUUCACUCAUGAUUUGGCUGUCUGUUAUUGGUGUAUAGGAAUGCUUGUGAUUUUUGCACAUUGAUUUUGUAUCCUAAGACUUUGCUGAAGUUGCUUAUCAGCCUAAGGAUAUUUUGGGCUGAGAUGAUAGGGUUUUCUAAAUAUACAAUCAUGUCAUCUGCAAACAGGGACAAUUUGACUUCCUCUUUUCCUAAUUGAAUGUGCUUUAUUUCUCUCUCUUGCCUGAUUGCCCUGGCCAGAACGUCCAACACUAUGUUGAAUAGGAGUGGUGAGAGAGGGCAUCCUUGUUGUGUGCCAGUUUUCAAAGGGAAUGCUUUCAGUUUUUGCCCAUUCAGUAUGAUAUUCGCUGUGGGUUUGUCAUAAAUAGCUCUUAUUAUUUUGAGAUACGUCCCAUCAAUACCUAAUUUAUUGAGAGUUUUUAGCAUGAAGGGCUGUUGAAUCUUGUCGAAGGCCUUUUCUGCAUCUAUUGAGAUAAUCAUGUGGUUUUUGUCUUUGGUUGUAUUUAUAUAUUCUAGUUACCAAGUCCUUAUCAGAUAUAUGAUUUGCAUAUAUUUUCCUCCAUUAUGUAGGUCGUCUUUUCACCUUCUUUUUUUUCACUUUCUUAGUAAUGUCCUUUGCUGCACAAAAGUUUUUCAUUUUGAUAAAAUAUAAUUUAUCUACUUUUUAUUAUUUUGCUCAUGCUCUUGUUGUUAAAAACAUUUUGAUGAGUGGAAGAAACCAAGCACAAAAGAGUACUAUCUGAUUCCAUUUAUAUGAAAUCCUAGGAAAGACUAAUCUAAACAGGUCUGUGAGUUGGCAUGGAGGUUUGCACCUGUAGACCUGGUUACUGGGAAGGCUGAGGACAGAAAGAUUGCUUGAACCCAGGAAUUCAAGGCCAUCUUGGGCAGCAUAGCAAAUAGUGAGACAUUGUCUCUUUUUUUUUUAAUUUUUUUUUUUUUGAGACGGAGUCUCUCUCUGUCGCCCAGGCUGGAGUACAGUGGCGCGAUCUCAGCUCACUGCAAGCUCCGCUUCCCGGGUUCACACCAUUCUCCUGCCUCAGCCUCCCAAGUAGCUGGGACUAUAGGCGCCCACCACCACGCCUGGCUAAUUUUUUUGUAUUUUUAGUAGAGACGGGGUUUCACCGUGUUAGCCAGGAUGGUCUCGAUUUCCUGACCUCAUGAUCCACCCGCCUUGGCCUCCCAAAGUGCUGGGAUUACAGGCGUGAGCCACUGCGCCCGGCCAAGACCUUGUCUCUUAAACAAAACAAAACAAAAUCCUCUUCUAAACAGGUCUGUGGUUGCCUGAAUUGACUGGGAAAGGGUACCAGGGAACUUGUUAGCAUAAUAGAAAUGUUCCAUAUCAUGGUUAUGGUAGUGGUUACAUGGGUGUAUGCAGUUGUCAAAACUUAUUGAACCCUGCACUUAAAAUGGGUAUUUUUUAUCUUAUGUAUGUUAUACCUCAAUAAAGCUGAUGUUUUUAAAAAGAAUAUGUACAACCUAUCCAAUCUACUGUUAAUUGACAUUGAAUUUUUUUCAGUGUUUAGCUACUUCAAACAAUGCAGCUAUGAGUGUUCUCGUAUGUGUACUUUUGUACACAUUUGUACUCAUUUCUAGAGGGUAUGUAUAUCUAGGCAUUGCUGGGUCAUGGGUAUGCAUAUGAUUACAUUUAGUAGAUGCUGCUAAACAGUUUUCUGAGGGGACUGUACCCAUUUACACACUCAGCAACAGUGUAUGAGAGUUCCGCUUGCUCUGUAUCCUCACUGACACUUGCUGUUGUCAGUCUUUGUAAUUUUAAUCAUUCUAGUGGAUGUAUAGUGGUGUGGACUAUGGCUUUAAUUUGGAUUUCCUGAAGACUAAUGAGGUUGAUUACCUUUUAUUUGGAUUUUACCUGUCAGUUCUUUUUUUAUUAUUAACUUGUAGGCAUUCUUUAAAUAUUGUGGAUGAGGACUUUGUUAGUGAUAUACGAUUAGCAGGUAAUUCAACCUGUGACUUGCCUUUCAGUUUCUUAUUAGUAAUUUCUAUAAAGGGAAGUUUCUAAUUUUAAUGUCCUCUGAAUGAUCAGUCUUUCCUUUUGUGGUUAAUAGUUUAUGAGUUCUAGGUAAGAAUUUUUUUUCUACUCCAUGGUCAUGCAGAUAUCCUCCUGUGUCAUCUUCAAGAUGCGUUAUUCACAAUUAAGCCUAAAGUCCACCUGAAAUUGAUUAUUUUUGCAUAUGAUAUGAGGUCAAGAUGAACUUUUUUCCUAUGUAGAUAUUUAUUUGGCCCCACACUAUUUUGUGGAAAGUCCAUACUUUCUCUAGAGCUCUGUAAUACCACCUUGAUCAUAAAUUGUAUGUGUGUAGAUCUGUUUCUAGACUUGCUUCUGUUCCAGGGAUUGACCCAUGGCUCAUUUUUGUACAGCCUCCAAGCUAAGAAUAGAUCUGUAUUUUUAUAGGGUUGUUAAAAAAAGAAGAAUAUGCGACGGAGAUUGCAUGUGUCCCAGAAAGCCUAAAAUAUUUACUGUCUGGCUCUUUACAGAAAAAGUUUGCCAACCUUUGUUCUAUUCCAUUGAUCACUUUCUUUGCACCAAAACAACACUAUUUUAAUUAAUGUGGCUUUAUAAUAAGUGCUGCUAUUGGGUAGAAUAAGUCUUCUUAGAAUCAAAUUUUCAGUUUCUAUACCCACAUGAAAAAAUUCUGUUGGAAUUUUGAUUGGUUUUAUAAUGUUUAUAAUACUGGAAUAUUUGAAAUAUGGAAUCUUUUGAUCUAUGAAUCUGGUGUAUCUCAUGAAUGAGUGUUAAAAUAGUCUGCAUCUUUUGGGAUAAUCCUUGGAUUUUUCUUCCUUAAUCACUUAAUGUAGUAGAUCAUGUUGAUAAAGUUUUCAAAUAUGAAACCAGCCCUGCAUUACUGGACUAAACCAAACUUGUCCACAAUGUGUGAUGCUUUUUAUAUAUCACCAGAUUUGGUUUUCUGUUUUAUUUAGAAUUUUUGCAUCUCUGCUCAAGGAUUGCCUUCACCUAAAGUCAGGCCUUGAUCUGAUAAUUGGUGUUGAGUAGCAGACAUCAAGAUGGAAGCAGAAACUAAACCAGGAUGAGAUAUGCAGAAGGCUUAUUGGGGGCAAUGCUUGUAAAGGAUAAAGAAGAAAGCAAGAGAGGACAGGGGAAAACCUGAGACCAUGAGACAGGCCUGACCCCUGUGAAAGAAGAGAGGAAAGGAAAGAAUUGGUAGGAAGGGCCCCAGCCUGCAGCACAGAUCUAAGAACGCCUCUGCUAGGCCAGUGAAGAGUCCCCAGGCAAACACUUGUCUUUUAGAAGAAUCCUGCUUUGGGCAGGAAUGGGGAAAUGUGGCCUCUGUGUGAACAUGGUGAUGGAUCCAAAGGGCGGCAGCUGGGGCUGUCAGUCAGUCUUCCCCGCGGCAAGUUCUUCAGAAGGAGGUGUGCAGAGGAACAGCCCACCUCCAUGCUUGACAUGGUUGGCCUUUUUCUUUUCAUCCCUGCUCACAGGUUGUAUUCUUUUGGGGACCCCAAGUGAAAACAUGGUGUUUUCUAGAGCUCUUUUCCUUGGCUGGCCCUGAAGUUCCUUUUUUUUUUUUGUCUCCUCAGCCUUUUGAGAUUGAUGGAAGCUCUGUGCAGCUGGUCAGUCUCUCAGCCAUUACUUUGGAAACAGGAAACGCCUCAAGGUGAACAGUUGUGCAAAGCACUGGACUCACCUCUCUGGAUUUCCAUCUAUUUGGAAGCUUGUUCCAUUAAGCCAUCUCUGCCUUGGUAGCUUUCUGGUGCCUUCACACAAAUGUGGUUAUACAUCGUCUAGCUUUUCUGGCUGUUAUUCAUGGGUGGAAGAGUUGAUUCUGUAACCAGCUAGUUCACUUGGACAGGUGGGAAAAUAUGGGAAAGGAGGUCUCCAGGGUUGUCUUCUGACUAACUAGGACAUGAUUAAAACACUUGGGAGCCUCAGAUAUAAAGGGGCUGUGAUGGUAAGAAUAUAUAUACAUUUUGACCUAUGAUGAUUUUUUUUUUUUUUUUUUGAGACAGAGUUUUGCUCUUAUUGCUCAGGCUGGAGUGCGAUGGCGCCAUCUCGGCUCACUGCAGCCUCUGCCUCUGGGUUCAAGCAAUUCUCCUGCCUCAGCCUCCCGAGUAGCUGGGAUUACAGGCACCUACCACCACGCCUGGCUAAUUUUUGUAUUUUUAGUAGAGAUAGGGUUUCACCGUGUUGGCCACGCUGUCUUGAACUCCUGAUCUCAAGGUGAUCCACCCACCUCGGCCUCCCAAAGUGCUGGGAUUACAGGCGUGAGCACUGCACCCGGCUGACCUAUGAUAUGUAUUUUUAAAAAGAAGAUGGAGAAAACUUGGAACUUUGCUUGAAAGAGAAUUGCUUAGGGAAAAAGUGAUAGCUGCUUUCAGAUGUUUGAAGGGAUAUUUUGUAUAAGAUGAAGUAGAUUGGUGUUUCACAAUUUUCGAAAGCUAUAGACCUUUUCUCUAAUUCUCUACUGGAAAAUUCUACUCAUAUUUUGGAGACAAUCUGAGUGAUUGUUCAUGCUAUGUGGUAAACAAGUAGGGAAUUUCUUCCUCCUGAUGUACCUGUUCGAGGGAGGUGGUGGCAGCAGCACGAACCUAAUGAAGACAAAUAGAGAAAUGAGAGGCAAAGACUGAGCAUUAGAAUAUGCAGGCUAGGCACGGUGGCUCACGCCUGUAAUCCCAGCACUAUGGGAGGCCGGGGUGGGUGGAUCACCUGAGGUCAGGAGUUGAGACCAGUCUGGCCAACACAGUGAAACCCUCGUCUCUACUAAAAAUAGAAAAAUUAGCCGGGUGUGGUGGCACAUGCCUGUAAAUCCCAUCUACUUGGAAGGCUGAGGCAGGAGAAUCACUUGAACCCAAGAGGCAGAGGUUGCAGUGAGCCAAGAUCAUGUCACUGCACUCCAGCCUGGGGAACAGAGUGAGACUGUCUGGGGAAAAAAGAAAAAAGAAUAUACAAAGUAAACUUUUCUUACAUACUUUGACUUUUCAGUAUUUUUAUGGAAAAUAAUUUUUUUAUGUAUUACUUUCAGAGCACAGAUCAUUAAGGAUAGAAAUUGUCUUUUAUUGCUGAGUUUUCAGUGCCUAGUAAGUACCUGGUACAUAUAGUAGGAGCUCAGAUGUUUGCUGAGUAAAUGUGUUGAAUAAAGGGAGGUGCACUGGGGUAUUUCUAAUGAUGACCACCAUCUUGAAUUGGCACAAGCUUCUAAAAUGACUGCUCUCAAAGCUGCAAAAUUUACUAUGUUAGUAUCUAACCUCUGCUGUUGAAGAAGAAAAGCAGAUUUCUGACUGCCCUCCUACUUUUCUUUUGUCUUUUCCCAUCAACCUCUCUAACACUCUUUUGAUUUAGAAAUCAGUUUCCCAUAGCUGCUAUGUGUAUAAGCUAGAACAGUAAUAACAAAAACAUGGUAAUCCUGGAUUUACAUAACAACUUGAACUUCCUCUUUGUAAAAUAAACUGGUAAAGUAAGGUGGUCAAGUUAGAUGAAAGGUUAAAAAAAAUAUUUUACUUCAAGUCCCAGGAAACCUUGUUUAUAGUGAUCUAAAAUGCAAGGAAUUCAACUGGAUUCAAGUAGCAUUGUCAGAAAUUCCAUUUCUAGGAGUAGAUUUUAAGAGUUUGAAAAACAGUGCAUGAAGUUAAUUUGGCAGCCAAGAAAAUAAAUGAAAUUUAAAAAAUCUCUUCAAGGGUUCUAAAACACUUAACAUGAAAUUUAGGAUUGCAGAGAACUAAUUGGAGACACUGAACAGAUAGGACGAUACAGGUGAAAAAGAAGAAAAGUGCAUGGCGGAGUAUUAAUGUUCUGCAGAAUAUUAAUUUCUCCUCUGGAAAGAACUUCUUUAUAGAAAUGUUACUCUAGAGGUAACUCUGUAAUUAGGUAAUUUUGAGCUUUUUUUUCUAAAUUAAUUUUUAAAUUUAUAAUUGACAGUUAUACAUAUUUAUGAGAUAACAGUGUGAUAUUUUAAUGCAUAUAUACAUUGUAUAAUGAUCAAAUCAUUGUAUAAUGGUUUCUUUUUAUUAUUAAAAUUUUUUUAGAGACAAGUUCUCACUAUGUUGCUCAGGCUGAUCUUGAACUCCUGAGCUCAAGUGAUCCUCCCACCUUGGCCUCCCAAAGUGCUAGGAUUACAAGUCCAAGCUACCAUGCUGAGCCAUUUUUUUCCCCCUUAAAUACAGGGUCUCAUUCUGUCUCCCAGGCUGGAGUGCAGUGGCACAAUCUCAGCUCACUGCAGCCUCCACCUCAGCCUCUGGAAUAGCUGGGACCACAGGCUUGCACCACCGUGCUUGACUGAUUUUUGUAUUUUUUGUAGCGACAAGGUUUUGCCAUGUUGCCUAGGCUGGUCUUGAACUAGGCUCCUGGCUCUGCCUCCCAAAGUGCUAGGAUUACAGGUAUGAGCCACCACACCUGGCCAAGUUGAUUUCAUAGAAGUUGAGCUGUGUUUUUUUUUCAGCUGCUCCAUAACUUAAGACCUUAAUCAUAGACACCCCCUAGUUGAGUAGUCCCAUUUUCCUUCCUGAUUGCUCUCCAGCUAGUUAGCCUACAUUGAAAGUACGUGAUUCAUAAAUCCAUGUAGUAAAGAUUUAAUUAUAAUAGUUACAGUCCCUGUUUUUGAUGUUUAACAGAUAAUUUUUCAUCUUUGCUAUAAAAACAGAAUAGAAAUAUUUACAUGUAAAUGCCAAACACAUUAAAUCAGAAAUAUAAUUUUUGUUUAUUUGUUCCUUUAGCAAACAUCUGUUGAGUCAGUCCUGUGAGCCACUCACUAAACUAAUUACUGGGAAGGAAGUGAUGUGGCCUCUAACCUCACUUCCUUCAGAUAGCUGUGCACAUGUCACCUGUUAGAGAGGCCUUCCCUGACCACUUCAGAAAAACAGCCCUGCCUUUCCUUCUUCCUUUCCUUCUCACUCUGCUUAUUGUUCUCCAUUGCAGUUGUCACCAUUUCUCAUAUUACUUAUUUCUUCCUGAGCAUUUUUCUCUCUCAGUUGGAAUGUAGAGCAGAAACUUUAUUUUCUUACUUUAUCUCUUAAAGCCCAGAACAGUUCCUGGCACGUAUACAUCUAAUGAAUAUAUGUAGAAUACAGGCUCUGAUUCCUUGUGCCAUGAUCCUACAACAACUUCAUAUACCUUUAUUUUUGUACUUAGGUAAUUAUUUUAUACUUAUAUCCUCCACCAAACUAGAAACUCCUUUUUUUUUUUUUUUUUUUUUCUGAGACAGAGCCUCACUCUAUUGCUCAGUCUGGAGUAUAGCAGCACAAUCUUGGCUCACUGGAUCCUAUGCUUUCUGGGUUCAAGCGAUUAUCCUGCCUUAGCCUCCCUAGUAGCUGGGACUACAGGCACUCAUCACCACACCCUGCUAAUUUUUGUAUUUUUUUUAGUAGAGAUGGGGUUUCACCAUGUUGGCCAGGCUGGUCUCGAUCUCCUGACUGCAGGUGAUCAACCCAUCUCAGCCUCCCAAAAUGCUGGGAUUACAGAUAUGAGCCACCACAACUGGCCGGAACUUUUUGAAGUCAGUUUUAACCACCAGGUGAGGGGAUCUCAGAUGGGGUGUCCAUUGGGUUGUUAACAGAUGAAUAGGAGUUUAUCAGGAGGAAGGAAAAAUGGCAUUCCAGAACAGAUUUUAGAGACAUUUAGAAGUUACAUUUGCCCAGAUUUGGUGGAAAGAUUUUAGGAUGGAGUGUGUGUUUCCAGUUAAAGAUGCCUUUUGGAGCAUUAUGCUUUUCUGACUUGAGUGACUGGAUAGAUGGAGGUGUCAUUAAAUGAAGGAGUGAAGGAUAUUGAAGUGAAAUAUAUCUCUCCUUCCUCUGGAGAAAUGAGUUUAGUUUGGGAUAAGUUGCAUUUCUGAUGCCUGUAGAGAGUUCAGUAUCUAGCUGAAAAUUUGUUUCUAGAGUUCUCAAGAAAGAGGUUAGGGGUUGAAAAUAGAUUUGACAGUCAUUUUAUAUGUUAUAAUUAAGUCUUAAGCAUAAGUGAAACCAUACACAGAGGAUAAAGACAUGUAGAAUAAAGACAGGACUCUAAGAGAUGGUCCGAGAAAGAAGAAUCUGGAAAUUUGAGAGUAAGUAGUGGAAAGGUCUGAGGACAACCAGGAGGAGUUGGUAAUUUGCUUAUUAGGAGGUGAUAAUUUUAAGUGGGGCAAGGGGAGUGGAAAAUUUGUCCUUUGUCAUAGAGAAUUCAUUAGGAUUUGGACUAAAGAGAUACAGUUGGACUAGACCUGACAAAUGGCAGUUUGGUAAAGUUACUGAGAACAGUUUCAGUGCAGUGGACGGAAGGGAGGAGGAGGACAGAUAGAAGUGGGUUGGAACAUAAAAAUUAGAGCAGCAAACCGUGACAAGGUCAGGGUGGGGUAGUUGGCAGUUUUGCCCCCCAGGAGGUAUUUGUUAAUUUCUGAGAAACCCUGAAUUAGAGGUAACUGAAGGUAAGUGAUACAUACACUACAUUUGUAAGUAGUUUGAAAAACAAAGGGAUAGAGAGGGUAGCUAUGUGGAAAGGUGGAGAGAACUUUUGUUGUUUGGGAAGCGUUUAUAUAUCCAUGAGAUUUGGAGAGAAGACUAGGGAUUUUCUCACAUGAAGUUUUACAUGUGAGAAGAGAUAAUUAUGGUGGCAAGGUCCUGAGGAGGACUGAUGACUAAAUCCCCACCUGAAAUAGGACGAAGAAAAUGAGGACAGGCAAAGAAAAAAAAGUUGAGGAUAUAGCAAUUGAGUGAACUGGGAGACAAGGUUAUUGAACUAGUGUGAGGAAAUCAGCAUGGAACAGCAAGUUAAAGAGGGUUAUGAUGGCCGGGUGUGGUGACUCAUGCCUGUCAUCCCAGCACUUUGGGUGGGAGGCCGAGGCAGGAGGAUCGCUUGAAGUCAGUUCGAGAUCAACCUGGGCAAUGUAGCAAGACCUUGUCUCUAUAAAAAUAAAUAAAUAAAAAAGAAGGUUACUAGAAGUUUGAAACAGCAACCUUGAGGGGACAGGAAUUAAAAUGCAAGCAAGAGACUUUUCUGAGUAGUGUCAAGAACUUAGCUGAACUGGGAAAUUGUAAAUCAAUGCUUGUUAUGCAGUUUUAUUCAGCUGUAGUAGCAGGCCAAGAACAAGAACAGAGCAGGUGUAUUUUGGAAUUCUCCGUAGUUAGAGAUUGGCAAAUCGAAUGCUUUGAAAGGUUAAGGGGAAAGGAGGUUGAGGGAACUGGUCAAUUUUGUUGAAAUACUGAUCCACGGGUAAUCUUAGUAAGAAAGAAAGUAACUUCUGUUCCAAUUUUAGUAUAUGUGUUGCCGAAGUGAGCAUGAAAGUAAUUUCUGGAGGGAGACUGAUAGUUUAGAAGAAUGGAGAAGGCUGAAGGGAAUGGAAGGUUUUGAUAAAGUCAAGCAAGUUUAAUUGGUUAAAGGAUUGAGAGGUGAUAAAGUCAGAUAGAAAGAUAGUUGGUUAGAGCACCAUAACAAAUUUUUCUGAGUUUGCAGAUAAAUUAAAUUCUAGCAUAACAGAAAUAAUAGGGCUAUGAAUCUAGAUAUGAUAAUAUUGUGUGUGAAAUGUUACGUGUGAAAUGUACAAUGCUACAUGAACUUUAAAUACUUUAGAAGGCAGAUGCCAGGAUUCUUUGUUCAUUGUAGGAUAAUCAAUGCCUGGCACAUUUGUAAGAGCUCGGUAAAUAUUUGUUGAAUGAAUAACACCCAUCCACAGUCUUUCUUGCCUAGAUAGUUCAUAAUGCCAGAAAAUUUUGAUUCAUGUCUGACACCUAGUGGUACUGUACUUAAACUGCUGUUGAGUGGCAGCAUUUUCCUUAUACUAUUUGAGGGAAAUAGUAUAGAUUAGUCGUAGCACUAUUGCUUUGCCCCUGAAACAACUCUCCAAGUUGGUUCUGGGAAUUUUUACUAUUGGCAUUUUCCAGGGCUCCAAUUUUAAUUAGCAAACAUUUAUCGAGCAUCUACUAUGUGCCAGGCACUGUUCUGUGUGCUGGAGAUUUUCAUGUACUAUAUAUUCUCGUGUAUAUAUGAACUCACUGAACUUGAAUACAUAGGUAGAGCAGUUGCACUGGGCUACUUGUUAAGGCAUUUAAUUUAGGACUCUCUUAUGAUUUUUACAUGUGAAACCUUUCUAAAUUUAUUUCAUAGCCUUUGGGGCUAUCAUUUCUGUCAUGACAUACUGCUUUUUAUUAAUGUUAAGUAGGUAUUUAGGAAGAUGAAAAUAGAGUGGGUUUGUUUGUCAGCUUGCAGUACCAAUCACAUAGUGCAGAAUGCUACAUACUGUGAAGAACUGUUGAAGGAUUUUGUUUCUUGCUUUUAAGAAAAUGUACAGUUCUUAUCUGUUAGUGGUGUGUAUGGAUAUAUUUAAACUACCUAUGAAUGACAUGAUAUCUGGGGUUUGCAUUAAAAUGUUUUAAAGUGGGUGGGUUUCAAUGAAGCAAGACAAGAUUGAAAAUGUUUUUAUAAUUAUUUAAGCUGCAUUCAUGGGCUUUAUUGUCCUCUCUACUUUUGUGUAUGCUGGACAUUUCCACGGUAAAACUUUUUUUUUUUUUUUUUUCCCGAGAUGGAGUCUUGCUCUGUCACCCAGGCUGGAGUGCAGUGGCGCAGUCUAGGCUCACUGCAACUUCCGCCUCCCGUGUUUAAGCAGUUAUCUGCCUCAGCCUCCCAAGUAGCUGGGAUUACAGGCAUGUGCCACAGUGCCCGGCUAAUUUUUUGUGUGUUUUUAGUAGAGACAGGGUUUCACCAUCUUAGCCAGGCUGGUCUUGAACUCCUGACCUCGUGAUCCACCCGCCUCUGCCUCCCAAAGUGCUGGGAUUACAGGCGCGAGCCACCGUGCCCGGCCAGUAAAACCUUUUAAAAACUAGAAAGGUGUGGGUUGAAAGAAAGGUUAGCAUGAUUCAGUUAGAACAUGGUUUGCUUUUUUAUAUUAAACAAACUUUCUUAUUUCAUUUUGUUCUAUUUGUUACUACUUGAAGAUCCGGUUGAGUAGAAAGAUAGUAUGUUUUUACUAAUAAUAGAUAUAAUGUGAUUGAGACCUGACAGGUGACAUUCUACUGACAGUAUCCAGAGAUUAUUGGAAUUUGGGUUUGGGAGCUCAUGGUAAUUGCUGGAUCUGCAGAUUGGAGACUUGGAGAUAUAAUUUUAAAGUGCUAGCUAUCACCUGCAAGUGAGAGCAUUUUGAGUGAGAAUUUGGGGAACACCUAAAUUUAAUAAGUUGGCACAUCUUUCUUAGUGCUUCUCUCCUUACCAAAAAACAAACAAACAAACAAAGGACUAAUAAUCUGCCAUAGCAGUCUUCUUAAAUUGGAUUCUGCUUAAUGACUUAUAUAGGAUAUAUUUAUCAUAUGAUACAUAUGGAUUUUUAAUGUUGGACAUUGUGUCUCUGUUAGACUCUUAAGAUACCAGUAAACCAUAUCCCCAAAAUAAAAGUUAGAAGCCUGUUGUCAACAAUAAGAAAUACUAGUUAUGAAAUAUUUUAGGCAAACAAAAAUGUUACUUGUAAAUGCUUGCCACCCAUCUUUGUCAUCUUAACAUUUCGGCUUCACCUCCACCCCCUCAUAACCUUUCUUUUUCCUUCUCUCUUUCUCUCUCCUGAAGACAUAAAUGACUGCAAAUAUAAUAAGGCCCUUUUAUGCCACUCUUUUCCUAUUCCCUUCCUCCAGAGGUAAUUACUAGCCUGAAUUUGGUGUAUAUUACUCCUUAUUUUUGUUUUUUUUCCUUAAUAGAUCCACAUUCCUAUUGCUCAAUAAAUUCUUCUACAUGCUGUUUUUUUUCUGUGGCAGUCUAUUUUCCAUCAAAGAGAAAUAAAGAUCCGUUUUCAUCACUCAGACAUAACUUUGCUAUGUAUUUCAGUCUGUGUUGGGGUUUCAGUUAUUUUUUAUCUGAAAAAUAGAUAUUAAUUUCAAUAUGCUAUUUAUUUCCCUUAAAUAACUGAUGCUUGGUGCCUUCAUAUUCCAUUAUGUGAUAAACCUCUUUAGCUUUCCACCUUUCUGGAGGGUAUACUUCUUGUGAGGCUUAUCUGACUUUCAGAUUGGAGCACAGUCUCAUUUCAACAGCCUUUUGUUGUAUAAAGAUAGAGAUUUUUCUUUGGCAACAAAGAAACCAAUGGAAAAAAUACCAUUUUUAAAUAAGUCUCAUAAAAGCAGAGAUUUGGUUUAAUUAAAAAAAUUCUCCAAUAGCAAGUUUGGGAACUCUGAGAGAGAAGAAACAAAAGCUCAAUCUCAGUUAUAACCAUUAUUUUGUUUCUUUCUUUUAUAUAUAUAUAUAUUUUUUUAAGCCUAUAGCACCUGAUAUUCCCAGGCAGUCUCCCAUCCAAGUAUUAACCAGCCCCAGUCCUGCUAAACUUCUGACAUCAGACAAGAUUGGGCACAUUUAAGGUGGUAUGGCCAUAGACAAGAGCCAUUGUUUUCUAUUGCUUUGCUCUUGAUUAAAAUAUGGGAUAGUUUUUCCUUGUAUAAACUAUAUAUUUUUCCAGUCUGUUAAGAAAUAUGUUUCUCCUGUCCUCAGAACUGUAGGAUUUUCUUACUAUCAUGAUCUGUUUCUCUGUGAUCUUCAUUACAGAGACCUUUUUGUAACUGUCAUAGUUCAAAUUUUGUUGCUUCUUAAAAGUAAUCUAUUAGCUUUAGUCUGGUUUUUUUUGUUUUGUAUACUUAAUAUUUAAAAAUUUCAAAUAAUAUUUAAAAAUUUCAAAUAAUUUAGAUGUUGCAAAUGAUUUUGUCUUAGGCUUUCUCCAAAGAAGGAGGUCACUAGAGAUUUAACUCGUCCUUUUUGACUGACAAAGCCCCCAGGCCUAUAGAUGUAGCACUUUGGUUUUAGACGCAAUCUCUUUGAAGACAGGUGUAUAGUUUGUGUCAGAGUUAUUGGAAAUUUUUUUAGUAUAAUCUCUUUUUACCUUUUUACUUUCUUUUCUUUCAUGUUUCUCGUCCUAUCCCCUCCCCCGGCAGUAUUCCUUGACUUCCCUGUAAUAUGACAGUUGAGUUUGAUGAGUGUCCUUUCAACCAGUAUUUAUUGCUCACUUGCGAUGCGACAGGCUCUGUGUACCCAAGAUCAUCUCUGAUCUCUUUGUAAACCUGAAAAGUUUAUAAUCAGGUCUAUCAUAAUAAUAAGUAAUACUUAACAAAUACCUGCAUGUACUAGAUAUUAUAUAAAUGCUUUACUGGAUUAUCUUUUUUAAAUCCUCACAACAACCUUGCGAGGUAGGAAUAAUUAUUAUCAUCCCCAUUUUUCAGAUCAGUAAACUGGGGGCACAUACAAAUCAUUCAUCUAAAAUCACUUGGAUAUAGGGUUGUCAUAUGAAAUACAGAAUGCUCAAUUAAACUUGAAUUGCAGAUAGACUACUACUAUUUUUUAGUUUAAAUAUGUAUCAAAUAUUGCAAAAUCUGAUGACCGCACCUGGAAAAUGAAUGACAGAGGUGGGAUUUUAAACCAUGUAAUAUGGUUAUAGGGCCCAAGGUCUUAACUGUUGCAUUAUAAUGAAUAUAGAGAAUAAGAAUCACAUCCACCUGAACAUUCAGUAUUUAGAUGGCAGCUACUACCUAUAUAUAAUUAAUUUUUUUACUCAAGUUAUUUUUCCCCCAACUGAUCAUAUUUACUUCGUUGUAGACAUAUGUGUAUUCUUUCUGAUUUCAAGUGUACUAUUCAAGUUCAGGUAAAUUUACAUGUGCUUUUUAUGUCUUUUUAAGUCAGUACUAAUUAUAUAUUAUAACAUAAAAUGGGACUUUUUUUGAACCUGGUUACUUUAGCCAUUCUCAUCCACGUAAGAUAAUUGUCUUUUUACCUUCUUUUCUACAAAUAUAGGAAGAUUUAACUGCAUGUAUGUGCCAAAAAGGCACACUCUCUUUUGAUAAGGUUAGGAAAUGAUAUUUGAAUAAGGUAUUUAACAGUUCUUUGAAACAUGUCCCAUGUGUUCUCAAAAAAUUGAGAAGUUAUAAAAUACAAAUGUGGAAUUGAAAGAGGCUUUUACUAAGAAUUGCCAGGGAAGACAUCUGGGUCUGCUAAGUAAUCAUACAGGGAAGUAAGGAGUCAUUUUUCCUGGUGAAUUACCACAGUUUGGGAUCAGGCUUUUAGUUCUGCAUAUCUAGAAAUGUAUUUACAAAAACUAAAGACCUGAGAGAGCUUGUGAAUGACACACGUGUUAAAUAUGAUACUUCUGAUUUCCAGUUCUGGCAAAAUUGCGGAGCACAUAUCUUAAAAAGAAGACACUCUUAAAAUUCAUGAGUCAAGUGUUUAACUCAAGACAUAGAGCGAAGGUGUAUAGAAAUUGAAGAAAAGUAUAUUUCAUAGUGAAAUCUGCUUAUAUUUAAGGGAUAUUUACAGGAAAUGUUUUUCUCUCUCUAGGAGGAAUUGAAUGAUAUCUAGGUAGCAAGUCAGAUUUUUGGAGAAAGUUCAGAAAGGAAAGUGAGCAAGAGGCCGGGCUCGGUGGCUCACACCUGUAAUCCCAGCACUUUGGGAAGCUGAGGAGGGUGGAUCACAAGGUCAGGAGUUCGAGACCGGCCUGGCCAACAUAGUGAAACCCCAUCUCUACUAAAAAUACAAAAAAAUUAGCCAGGCAUGGUGGCGGGCACCUGUUAUCCCAGCUCCUCGGGAGGCUGAGGCAGGAGAAUCGCUUGAACCUGGGAGGCGGAGGUUACAGUGAGCCAAGAUCACACCACUGCACUCCAGCCCAGGCAACAAACAGUGCAAGACUCUGUCUCAAAAAAAAAAAAAAAAAGUGA